GUGGGGAAUAUUGCACAAUGGGGGAAACCCUGAUGCAGCAACGCCGCGUGAGUGAAGAAGUAUUUCGGUAUGUAAAGCUCUAUCAGCAGGGAAGAAAGUGACGGUACCUGACUAAGAAGCCCCGGCUAACUACGUGCCAGCAGCCGCGGUAAUACGUAGGGGGCAAGCGUUAUCCGGAUUUACUGGGUGUAAAGGGAGCGUAGACGGCACAGCAAGUCUGAAGUGAAAUCCCCGGGCUCAACCCGGGAACUGCUUUGGAAACUGUUGGGCUGGAGUGUUGGAGAGGCAAGCGGAAUUCCUAGUGUAGCGGUGAAAUGCGUAGAUAUUAGGAGGAACACCAGUGGCGAAGGCGGCUUGCUGGACAAUCACUGACGUUGAGGCUCGAAAGCGUGGGGAGCAAACAGG
RNAcentral lists this ribosomal RNA (405 nucleotides) under bacterium. Its description in RNAcentral is "bacterial SSU rRNA". It matches the Rfam family "Bacterial small subunit ribosomal RNA", at positions 354 to 776 of the family's 1533-position model. The record is from RNAcentral. RNAcentral also lists the same sequence under 1 other name.